GUAGGGGGCAAGCGUUGUCCGGAUUUAUUGGGCGUGAAGAGCGUGUAGGCGGCCAAACAGGUCCACUGUGAAAACUCGAGGCUCAACCUCGAGAGGUCGGUGGAAACCGUAUGGCUAGAGUCCGGAAGAGGAGAGUGGAAUUCCCGGUGUAGCGGUGAAAUGCGCAGAUAUCGGGAAGAACACCCGUGGCGAAGGCGGCUCUCUGGGACGGUACUGACGCUGAGACGCGAAAGCGUGGGGAGCGAACAGGAUUAGAUACCCUGGUAGUCCACGCCGUAAACGAUGGGCACUAGGUGUGGCGGGUGUCGACUCCCGCUGUGCCGAAGCUAACGCAUUAAGUGCCCCGCCUGGGGAGUACGGCCGCAAGGCUA
Molecule: ribosomal RNA, 371 nt
Filed under: uncultured bacterium
Lineage: Bacteria
Description: bacterial SSU rRNA
Rfam family: Bacterial small subunit ribosomal RNA
Source: RNAcentral